Molecule: long non-coding RNA, 1311 nt
Filed under: Betta splendens (Siamese fighting fish)
Lineage: Eukaryota; Metazoa; Chordata; Actinopteri; Anabantiformes; Osphronemidae
Description: lncRNA (ENSBSLG00000004629.1)
Source: RNAcentral
AUGAAAGUAUAUAUAUAUAUAUAUAUAUAUCCCACCAAACCACAUGAGAUACCGGCUCAGACGUCGCCCGGUCUAACAAGGUCUGCGUCAGGUGUUGGGGAACCAGAGCACCUUGGCGAGAAGUGGGCUACUGGAACAAGAAAGAAAUGGCUGAGAUGCGAGAACAGAGAACUGUUGGAAUGCUACUACUCAAGUAACCCUAGUCAGAGGGGUUACAUGCAAAGAAUGUGCGGUGAAUGGGAACGGAGAAACCCACAUUCAAGGCUGACGGCAAAGCAACUAGUAGCUCAGUGUUCCAACAUCCACAAACGGCAACUGCUAUCACAACUUGAGAUUGACGAGAUACAACACAAAUGCUACGGCAAGGGGGAGCCAGGACGCCAGGUCAGAGGGGAGGUUUCACCAUCUCCCCAACCGGAAAUUGGGUACGAAGCCCCAAUAAGCACAGAUACGCUGAGCGAGGCAGCAACUGACCUGAAAGAUAAGAUCAUGGCGAGAUUGAACAGGCAACCCCGAACCCCACUACAACGGCUAAGUGAAGUACCAUCAGAAAAUCUCAUGGAAGAUUUGAAUGCAGCAUUGAGAGCGAUCCCUACCACAACAAUCACGGAAACUAAUGAGCUGGUAUACGCUUCAGCAUCAGUGAUCCUAGAGGUGCUUGGCUAUAAGAGCAACCAUGGGAGCCAUGAGAAACAAUACCCACCAUGGAAACGAAGGUUGGAGGCAAAAAUCAAGGCAGCUCGGAGGGAAGUGAGCCAAAUGACAGAGGCCCAGAGAGGUGCAAUGAAAAGACCAAUGCCUAAGAGGUACAGCCAGAUGACCAUACCUGAAGCACUCGAAACUGCCAAGCAAAGGCUACAAGCCUUGGCCAGCCGCCUAAAGAGAUACACCAGAGAUAACGAAGCCAGACGAAUAAACCGGCUGUUCGCAACACAACCUGCGAAAGUGUACUCUCAAUGGCAGGGUAAUAACAACAGAGCAGACCCACCAAGGCGGGAAACUGAACAGUACUGGAAAGGCAUAUGGGAAAGGGAGGCAUCACACAACAGUGAUGCACAGUGGCUGGUGGAUCUGAGGGAAGACCACAGCAACCUCCCUGAACAGAAUCCAGUGACUAUCACAGUGGCAGACAUCCAACAUAGAGUCUCAGGUAUGAAAAACUGGACAGCACCUGGCCCUGACAUGAUCCACGCCUACUGGCUAAAGAAGCUCACUGCAACCCAUGAGCGCCUGGCAGCACAAAUGAACCAGCUGCUAAGGGAUGGGACUCACCGAGCUUGGAAAGUGGAUGAGACCACCCGCGGAGGGUGA